Molecule: transfer RNA, 92 nt
Filed under: Ignavibacteria bacterium CG1_02_37_35
Lineage: Bacteria; Pseudomonadati; Ignavibacteriota; Ignavibacteria
Also listed under: 7 other names
Description: tRNA-Ser
Rfam family: tRNA
About the family: Transfer RNA (tRNA) molecules are approximately 80 nucleotides in length. Their secondary structure includes four short double-helical elements and three loops (D, anti-codon, and T loops).
Source: RNAcentral
GGAGAGGUGGGUGAGUGGCUGAAACCAGCGGUUUGCUAAACCGCCGUACGGGUAAAACUGUACCCCGGGUUCGAAUCCCGGCCUCUCCGCCA